GCUUAAGUAGUUUAAAAAAAACAUAAAAUUUUCAUUUUUAAGUCAGAAAGUAUUUCUCUUAAGUU
RNAcentral lists this transfer RNA (65 nucleotides) under Mytilus edulis (blue mussel). RNAcentral's name for it is "tRNA-Glu". Lineage: Eukaryota; Metazoa; Mollusca; Bivalvia; Mytilida; Mytilidae. The record is from RNAcentral.